CAACUUGCCUAUUUAUCUAGGUCUCCAAUAUAGGUAUUGUGUGCAAAACUGAUUGUGCUCUCACCUCACACAUUGAAAACUACAUGAACCUAAGGCAACUAAAAAAAGCUUAUCUGAAUCUCUAAAUUUUAUUGCCUUUGUUUUAAUCGACCUCUUUUAAUCAGCUUACACCCGCUUUAAUCAUCUUUUGGCCACUUAGAUCAACAUUGUUUAGCAUGUAUGCUGAACUUUAUUUUCAAGCAUGUUGCACUGUUUUUUUCCCCUCUUUCAGAACUUUCUUUACAGUCCUGCUUUGUUAAAAAAAUUUGUACAUGUGCCUACAUUAGUUUGGUUUUCAAGUAUAUCGCACUAGUUUUUUCCUGUUUUGAAGCUUUCUUUAGGGUUUUGCUUCUCGACAUCAUACUAUACAACAACCAAAAUUGACUCUUUUUUUGCGAUUUGCUACACAAAUAUGUAUUACUUUAUUAUCUCUAACACAUUUCUUGAUAAAACUACUAUUAAUUUGUAAAAUUGGAUUAGAAAGGUGUACUUCUCCGUUCACUCUUUAUUUGCAGCUUGACUAUUUAGAUUCAAAGAUAUAUGUGUGCGUGUAUGUGUGUGUGUGUGAAAUUAACUAAUUAUUAUAUACAGCCCUUUGUUUACAAAAUUGCUAUACAAAGAUGUUCUCCUUUGUUCACUCUUUAUUUGCAGCUUGACUAUUUAUCUAUGUCUCUUUAUAUGUUCUUUAAUUAAGACUAUAGGCACUCAUAAUUAAGUUUGGGGGCACUCUUGACGAAAUUGCUUUUCCCCCACAUAAACUGAAUUACACAAAGAUGGAAUAUGAGAACAAAUACUUCACCCAACUGGCUGCUAUCUUCAAACUAGUGUUAAUCCAAUUUGCUGCACAAAGAUGUAUUACUUUAUUGUCUCGGGCACAUUUCUUGAUAAAACUAAUAUUAUGGCAAUGUCCUGGCUAUAUCUCCAAAUUAAGUUGCAUUUUAUGUUUACUGGCUUUUGGGAUCUCCUCAUCAUACUAUACAGUAAUUACUGAAGUGUUAUCUUCCUCUCUGAUCGUCUCAAUUUCCUCUAAUGAAGUGUUAUCUCCAUCUCUAUUCGUCUCAAUUCCCUCUAAUUCUGUUGACUACUGUUUUCGAGGUUGUGGUGAUUGAAAAACAUCGAGGCUGUGGUGAUUGAAAAACAGAGGAAUGAGUUUUGGAUGGUCUAAUUAUAGACAACCAACUCUUCUUAUGCAUUGAAUCCUUAGUCUAUAUCUUAAGGGUGGGUGUAAUCUCCAAUUGUUCUUGCAGUAAGGCUGUGUGUAGUCUCCAAUUGUUCUUGCUGUUGUCCAUUGAGGCCGUGAUGAUAGAAUAAAUGAGAAAGGGGUUUUGGAUGGCCUAAUUUAUAGGCAACCAACCUUUCCUGUUCAUUGUAUCCUCCUAAACCUAUAUUUUGAGGUUGGAUGGAAAUAAUUGCUAAGCCUCAACUUAUUUAGGUUUUUUUGAUUUUUGAUUUAUGUGUAUUAAGGUAUGCAUGUGUGUGUGUGUGUGCGUGCCUGUGCAUGCCUGACCUAUUGAACCGGCUGAUUAUAUUUGAAGUUUUUUUUUUUUUGCAGCUUGCUACACGUGUAUGUAUAUUAUUUUAAAAGCUUUGCCUUUCAAACUUUAGUACUGUCUUGCAUCCACAUAUCUGUAUCUUUAUAUAUGCAUUGGACUACUACACCUUUUUCCCACCAAGACCUUUUCAAUUUUAGUCUUCUUGGUUUUUGAAAUGAUUGUCUGAGAUGCUAAAUUCAUAAUUUUAUUCUCUUGCAAAUAUAUAUAGUUGCACCUUAUUUCAAGUCAAGAAAACUAAUUUUGCUCCCACCUCACAUAUUGAAGACAACUAAAAAAAAACUUAUCUGGAUCUAUAGAAAAAAACUUUUCUAUAUGUAUGAUAACUGUUCGGCAUCUGCUAAUCAAGAAUUCUCUAUGCCUUCAGUGGAUAUUAGAACGAGCUUUCAUCCUGAUAUGUUGCUCUUGGUAGUUGGCUCUUAAUUUCUUGCAAAUGGCUGGGCAGUGCAGUGCAGAAUGAGCUUCCUUUCUCACCUUGAUGUUCUGUGAUCAUUGGCCCUCCAUCACUUCUUGCAAUUGCCUACUACUAUCAACUGAGGCACCUUCUACUUCCAACUUUAUUCCAAGGUACUUAUACCUAACUAUUUAUAGUUGUUAUUUUUCCUUUUGUACCUUUCUUGCCCUCCAUAUCCAUUCUUUUAUUUGAGGAUUUCUUUUGCCUAGGUCUAAAUUCUAUUACUGUUUUUAUUCACCAGAAUGUUCUUUAUCUCACAUAAGAUUUAUCUGUACUAGCAUGCUUCCUUAGUCUCUUUUUUUCUUACGUUUAGUUAGGAGUUGUAUACUUGAAUCGUGAAAUCUACUCAAGUUCUUGCCUAUUUUGUGUCCAGCUAUCUAUGCUCCUUUCUUUUACAUAUGUAUCCCCUAUAACUUUUCAGGACUUCAAAUCAGUAUUUCUAUGUUUCCUAAAUCUCCAUAAUUUUUGUUGGCUUCCGUCUUUGAUAUGUAAUGCUUUUUGCCUUCUAAAAAAAAACUUAAUAGUUUUUCGAUUGCCUACCCUUCUAAAAAAAACUUAAUAAUUUUUCGAUUGCCUACCCUGUGACUGUGAUCCAAAGCUAUAAAAAAAAAUGCAGGUUGAAUGGGCCUAACAAUACUUUACAAUCUUGCCUGGUUUCAUAAGUUUGUGCAUGUGCCUACAUUACUUUGGUUUUCAAUCAUACUCCACUGUUUUUUCCCUUUCUUUGAGUUUUCUUUAAGGUUUUGCUUUAAUUCCAUGUUUUGCACAUAUGCCUGCAAUUUCAACCUGCAUUUUUCAAUUGCUUCUUGAAGGAUAUUGGAAUAUUGGAAUAGACCUUCGCCCACUAUUUUAUUGCAGUUCUGUUAUCUUUUCUACUUUCUUUUUUUAUUUUUAAAUGGCUGUGAUGAUAUGAAUAAAAUGAGACAUGAGGUUUGGAUGGUCUGUUUUCUAGGCAACCAACUCCUUAAAGGUGUUCGUUAUAUCCUCCACAAUCUAUAUCUUAAGGCUUNAUGAUAUUUUGACUUCAAAAUUUAAGCUAAUUAUUACUUAUUAUAAUGAGUUUAUAGUUUUGAGAAUUGCAUGAAAUUUCAUAUUCUAACUAAAUCAGUAAAAAUCAAACUUUUGCAAGAUCGGGUAGACAACUAAAAAUGAUCAAUAGUUCAGAUAAUUUUUAUGUAGUUUAACCUUUUUUUUUUGAGAGAGAGAGAAAGCAAAUAUAUAAUUUACGGAUGCACAUACAUAAAAUUUUCUCGGCAAUAUAUAUAUCCCCUAAACUACAAGUUAUUAUCACAAGGGUCAGAUCGGUGGAAACUUUUUUAAAAGGUUUAAUUUGUUGUGACAGGGCCGAUGUAUAAAAAUUCAGAUUGUUAUAGGGUAUGAGUUAUAUAAAGUAUGCAAAUAGAUGACUUUUUUUUCUUUUUCUUUUUCUUUCUUUUAGAGAGAAAGAAAAUAAAUGAUUUUACAGAGGCACGAACGUAAUAUUUGUCGCUAGUCGUUAGCAACAGAAUACCAUCGAAUCAUUUGACGUGGAUGUAUUAUGCUGCUAAUGAGCGAUAUUUUUGUACAUAUGUAGUGCAACACACUUAAUAUGCUAUGGAGUUUGUUUCUAUAUGGAUUGGAGAACUAUUAUGUUAUAUAUAUGUAUAGUCAGUCAGCUGGGACGAUGUGAAAUCGGUAAUGUCUGCCGGGGGGUUCUCCAUCAUUUAAGGCGAUAAAAAUUUGCUGAAGAAGUAGUUUAAUGCAGUUACCGUAGGCCUGUGGAUUGGAAAUGUAGUCAAAGUGCAUCCGCUGGGCAUUGGCGACGGUGAAGACGUCAGAUCCGAUCUGGCUGUUGAGGUCCCUUACGAUGUGCACCAGCUGGGGAUUAAACAGAUCUGCAGCUUUCAUCAGCUCCGCAGCGCAGCUGCCGUCCCGGCUUCUAACCGCCAGCUCCGCCGGCACGCACCCGAGCGGCCCUGUCCCGGUGACGAUGACUCGCCGCGCGCCCAAAUCGUAGAGCCUCUGAAAAUUCCGAGGCAUGCAAAGGUGGAGUCUCUCGUAUUUCAGCGAAUAGAUAGAAGAAACGUCGUACUUUCAAUUAAUAGCAGUUUUUGGGGAGAAAAGAAAAAAAGAAACAAAAAGAAGGAAGUGGGAAAACAGAUAUUUUAGACAGAAAAAAAAGAAAAAAUAAAAAUAAAAAGGAAUUUAAGUCAAUCGGUACUCGGUUUAAUUUGCCAAACUAACUAAUUAAAAGGCCCCUUUAAGAGUCAACCUUGUCUAAUAUAUUUGCAAAGAAGCACAUGAGACAUCGACGGCGGAGAGUGAUGCAGAAUAAGAAAUUUUAUUUCAAUCUUGGCUCUUGGCUUUUCACUUAACGAAAUUCUAAAAAAUUAAAAAAAGAACACUUUUUUCUCCCCAAAUUGCUGUUUUCUCUGGUAAUAUAUUUUAUUUUAAAUCAUGCCAAAUAUUUGGACAGCUCCUUAAUUUUCAGCCUAAAAUCUAAAUGCAUUUUAAGCCUCUUAUACGUAAAACCAAUUACCAAACUCCAUUAUAUUCUCACUUGAGCAUUCAAGUCCCUAAAGUAACCUCUCUCUCUCUCUCUAUAUAUAUAUAUAUAUAUUUUACUGCUCCGUCUUUUCCUAUAAAAUGACCUUCUCCUUUUCCUGGGGCACGUAAUUAGAUUAACAGAAGGGCGCGCUGCCAUUUCACAUUCGUAUGUAUAUGGGACGGGAGAGCAUGCAUAUUGCAAAUGUGCAGAAACUGUUCAAGCACUAUACUCUUUGAAAUUGGGUGGCCCAUAUAUGCAUGUGAAGAGAUGUUGCUAUAAUAAGAGUGUCCUUAGGCCAAAGAUACACUGUACUGCUCGGUAAUGUCUAGCUGUUUCUUUUCCCUUAUUAGUUCUGCUAAUUUAAUUCUUCAUAAUGUUGCUCUGGACCACUCUGCACCCAGGGGAGAUUAAUAACCAAAUCUACCCAUUUGUAUUUACUGUUUGCCCUCCUAUAUAUAUAUAUAUAUAUAUUUAUUGCAUGCCUGAUCAGUGGUGGUUGCCAUCAAACUCUACAGUAAAUUUCCAGCAACCAAAUUUAGUAAUUACUACAUGCGAUACCCUUCUUUUGAAGGACAACUGCAGGGGAAGGGAAAGAAACUUCUUAUUUAUUGUCAAGAUUACUACGUACUAGCAAGGGCUGUAAAACUAUUUUUUUUUAUUUUUUUUAUUUUUUUAUUGUGUCUAUGGCAGUUGCUCGAACAGCUCAAUGCCUGGUUUAGGAUUGUGUUUCCCGGUACAACUCAAUUAAAGACCUUUCAAUCUUCCCGGCUGCAAUUCUCACCUCAAUUUUACCUUUAAAUUUGUUAGACCGUACGGAGUAUAAAAGCGGAUAAGUUUGGCGACACAAAUCCAAACUAGCCCUAACAUUUUAAUUGCAUGGGAGCAUUUUGAUAUGAACUAUUUUUUUAUUGUAGGGAUUCGGAAUCAACAACGGAGACCGUUAAACAUAAUUUAGGUCUUCUCGAACCAAAUUUUGUGAUUUUUGAAUAUUAUUUUCUAACACAUCAAGCGGGCACAAAAUUAAAGGCUCAAACCGAAUAAUCUUGUGAAAAAGAGGAUAGAAUUGUUCAAGUUUAUUGAGGCCGAGCAUGUUGAUCUUGAUCAAAAUAGUUGGAAGAAUUUCGUAGCGAAAAUCCAAUUAAACUAGACUCUUCUACAUUGUUAAAGCAAAAAAGUCUUUGUUAAUUCUAAAAUGUUUCAAUUAAUAUAUAUAUAUAUAUAUGAAGUAGAAAACUCACUCAAUUUAUUUUCUAUAGAACUCAAAUAUCCUAAAUCAUAUUUUACUUGAUUGUCUAAUAAAAUAAUUUUGAUAGUCAAUAAUUAAUGACUAGGCAGUUCCAUGGCAUUAGCACUGUUGCUAUAACUAACUCAUUCACAGCAAUCUUCCGGAUAAAUUUGUGUGCAGCUGUUAUUUUCGGUCAGAAGAAUAGCAGCAAUAAAGUGCGUGCAUGGAAGCAGUAGUAUACAAUGUCAAUGUCAUGGACCUCUUGUGGGCAUGUGAGUUAUUACUGUAUAUUUUGCAAGAGGGCAAAUUUCACCGCCUAGCCAAUAAAUUUUUGUGCCGGAGAAUGGAAAGGACGGUUUAGCUGACCGCGUCCAACUAACAAAGUAUACGUCGAUUGCAGCAGACCGGCUUUGCGCCUUUAUAUAUUCUCGGCACUGUUAUUGGCCCGGAGUAUUGAGGGGAGAUCAUAAGCGUGCAUGCAGGGAAGGUGAUUUAAUUAAUUAAUUAAAGGACUAAUUUCACCUGCGGCGCAUACGCUACUCUGCUAACUUGUCGGGAUUAUGUUUCGCAGAUGGAGGAGUCACAUCAAUUCUUGAGCACGCCGUAUAAAUUCUCGGAUGGAACUUUGAGAAUUUUACGUUGUAUUUUGGAUAGUAAGUUAAUUUCUACUUUAUUUAAAAUCAAGCUGCUUCAAUUAGCGGGAAAGUUAUAUAAAGACCCCAUGACGCUGUGCAUGAUUUCUUAAGUUUGCACAUUAAGGUUUAUUGUUUUGUCGAGAAAAUUUAAUUGUAAAAUCUUCUGCAUUAAAAGUGAGAAUGUGGCUCUUCUAAGGUGUUCUAUUACUCCGAAUGGCAUGGCAACUAGCUAUACGUAUAUAAUUCACGCAAAAUUGGACCAGCACAGCACAGCACGGCACAGCACACUCCAGGGGGAUGGAUUUGCACUGUGUUUGACCAAUAUUGUAGUAGUAAUUAAUGUAUGUUGAUGGGCCAAUUAGUUAUGCCAAAUCUAGUCAUUUAUAUAUAUAUAUAUAUAAUGUAAUUUAAUUCUUCUUUUCAGAUGAGUUGAUUGAAUCUACUAAGUAAGAUCGAUCAAACUUGAAACUAGACAGGGAGGGUAACACACACGUACGACCGACCGACUUCAAAUGCUGGAAAAUUAUACUUGUACCAGUAAGUGAACGUACCGUGAGAAUUUUUUUGUACUCGAAUAUUAUAAACUGGACAUAGUCCGGGAGCGCAAAUUCACGAGAUCUCACGGAGUAGGGGACCAAGUAGUAGUUGUUAACAAAGUCAUUACCCCCGAGAGUGAUGAGAACGAGAGCCUGGUUCACUAGCUUCUUCGCCUGGUCCUCACCUAGGAGAGCACUCACCCGCUCCUGGUACUCCUCGAAGUAUAGCAGUUGCCUGCUAAUCCUAAUUAUGUUUACCUGCAUAUAUAUGCGCGCACGAUAUAUAUCCAGAUUAGAACGCGUCGUCGAUUUAUGAAAAGAAUUUUAAGUACAUCUAAAAUGGAAUGGAAUAAAUUUGUAGCGUCCGUACAAAUUGAAUUCCGGUGUCGUUGAGGAUUCCGAUCCCUGCCGAAGCGAAAUUCGCACCGACGAGUAGUUUUUCGCCUUGAAGCUCAGGGCUCAAGUAAGGCAAUGUGGAUUCGGCUCCCAGAUACUCGCCUGAGAUAUAUAAUUGCACCGCAAUGUGAGUGAAAAAAAAAAAAAAGAAAAAAAGAUAGGAACUAAAUAUGUACAAAAUUAAUCUCAUCGUGGCUCUUUAUGCAUGCGGUUAACUGAUAAUGUCAGGGAUGUUAAGCCCAUUGGAGAAUCGGCCCGUCGGCCGGUGGGUAGGGUAGUCAAUCCCAUAAGGCGGGGCAUCGGCGCGCGCCGUGGUAGCCAAGUAGUUGUUGUUGCCGUUGUCGACGAGGGAAUCGCCGAAGAUAAAGAAGGCGCGCGCAUCGGAGACUGCGCAGAGGGUCCCUAAAGCUAAGAAACAAACAAGAGAGCAGAGGAGGAGGAGGAGGAGAAGAGAGGGGUGCAUCGUCAAUGUGAAAAUGCGCAAUCAAUCAAAUGGAAGUAGAAGAGGGAUCGUAAUAUAUACUAGCUAGUAGAAGAGCCGGCUCUGUAUAUAUAUUCACAUGAAGGGCCAGAGGAGGUGGUGGAUUUAUAUAGGACUCUGCUGGGCUCAAUUUAAGAGGGUGUGUGUGUGUGUGUGUGUGUGUGUGUGUGUGUGUGUACAUGUGUGUGUGUAUAUAUCUAUAUGCAUGUGUGCAUGCAUUUAUAUUUACUUAGAUGUCCGCGUAUGUUCGUAUACACGUACAUAAAGAGCUAGAUCUAAUCACAUUCUUACAUAGUUUAGAUUUAUAUGUGCGUGCGUGUGUGUGUGUGUGUGUGUGUGUGUGUGUUAAAUUAACUAUGUAUACCUAUAUGUAUAUGUAUACAUACAUAUAUAUACAUGUACAUAUAUACAUCAAGUGCUGGAUCUAAUCAGUGUGUGUGUGUGUGUGUGGAAUUAACUAAGUAUAUCCAGCCCUUUGUAUGCAAAAUUGAUACACAAAGAUGUUCCCCUUUAUUGUCUCUUUAUUUGCAACUUGCCAUUUAUCUAGGUCUCCAAUACAGGUAUUGUGUGCAAAACUGAUUGUGCUCUCACCUCACACAUUGAAAACUACAUGAACCUAAGACAACUAAAAAAAGCUUAUCUGAAUCUCUAAAUUUUAUUGCCUUUGUUUUAAUCGACCUCUUUUAAUCAGCUUACACCCGCUUUAAUCAUCUUUCGGCCACUUAGAUCAACAUUGUUUAGCAUGUAUGCUGAACUUUAUUUU
This 8606-nucleotide long non-coding RNA is filed under the name Ananas comosus (pineapple). RNAcentral's name for it is "long non-coding RNA (ACOM_LNC008914)". Lineage: Eukaryota; Viridiplantae; Streptophyta; Magnoliopsida; Poales; Bromeliaceae. The record is from RNAcentral.